UUGAAACUCAAAGGAAUUGACGGGGACCCGCACAAGCGGUGGAGCAUGUGGUUUAAUUUGAAGCAACGAGAAGAACCUUACCAAAUCUUGACAUCCUUUGACCACUCUAGAGAUAGAGUUUUCCCCUUCGGGGGACAAAGUGACAGGUGGUGCAUGGUUGUCGUCAGCUCGUGUCGUGAGAUGUUGGGUUAAGUCCCGCAACGAGCGCAACCCUUAAACUUAGUUGCCAGCAUUUAGUUGGGCACUCUAGGUUGACUGCCGGUGACAAACCGGAGGAAGGUGGGGAUGACGUCAAAUCAUCAUGCCCCUUAUGAUUUGGGCUACACACGUGCUACAAUGGACAAUACAAAGGGCAGCUAAACCGCGAGGUCAUGCAAAUCCCAUAAAGUUGUUCUCAGUUCGGAUUGUAGUCUGCAACUCGACUACAUGAAGCUGGAAUCGCUAGUAAUCGUAGAUCAGCAUGCUACGGUGAAUACGUUCCCGGGUCUUGUACACACCGCCCGUCACACCACGAGAGUUUGUAACACCCGAAGCCGGUGGAGUAACCAUUUAUGGAGCUAGCC
RNAcentral lists this ribosomal RNA (563 nucleotides) under Staphylococcus arlettae. RNAcentral describes it as "bacterial SSU rRNA". It matches the Rfam family "Bacterial small subunit ribosomal RNA", at positions 894 to 1454 of the family's 1533-position model. The record is from RNAcentral. Lineage: Bacteria; Bacillati; Bacillota; Bacilli; Caryophanales; Staphylococcaceae.